ACAGACCAGCUGAGAAGUGUCCAAAACCCCUCUACAACCAUAAACCAUCUUAGGAUGGUUUAAGAUAUUAUUGUGAAGCAGGCCAUAAACAGCAGGAGACGAGCAUCGUGUGUGAUGUCUAUAUUAGCAUCCAGUGGAGAUGGAAGACAGAUGUCUUAUGUCAGAUGUUCGGUUGGUCGAGGCCCACGGUCAGCCGGAGAAACCAACCAGACUGAUGCUCUCACCUCGUCCGCAGAUCAUCGCUGGUCUCUGCUAUGGAAGUGCAUUGAAAGGGGGGGUGUUGCAUGGAUCAUUGACCAGUUCUGCAAGGGUAAGGCUUCAAGAUCAGUUUAAACAUACGUUGUCAAUCAGGUGCUGCAGAUGCUCCAGGAGAGAAUCGGAGCUCUUAUAGUGCCCUCUGCUGGUCUCUUGCUGCAUGUCACAAAACUCAUCGAGAGACGCCAUCAAAGCAACCAUUGUCCAGCCAUUCAGACGGGCACUCCGAGAGAGUCUGCAAAGCUACGGGAAAGUAAUAAAAACUAAUACAAUUAUUUUAUAAUAUAAAUGAUAGAAUUCAUUGUGAGGACUUCUAAUGAAACUGAUAGGCUCUUUCAAAGCAAUUCAGCUAUGGGCAGUAUAAUGCAUGCCAUCUAAUUCAAUAGGUUUGAGUUUAUUACAAAAGUACAAGGAAGCACUAUCCUUAUACUUCUAUAAUAAACUCAAACCUACUCUAUUAGAUGGGGACAAGGACUGUUGUAAAAUGAGUUGUAGAACUGUCAGUUUAACCACUUAGAAAUUAUUAAAAAUGAUUUAUAGGACAAAAACCUUUUCAGAAAGAAAAAUCAGUUCAGUUCACUUCUGGGAUUUAAUUUGAUUUGCUAAUAUGUUUCCAUAUUUACUUCUACUGGAACCUCAAUUCAAACAUUUUUAAUUAU
Long non-coding RNA from Sinocyclocheilus rhinocerous, 914 nucleotides. RefSeq lists it as uncharacterized. The record is from RefSeq and is a predicted model, not a curated record. The transcript is spliced from 3 exons. Lineage: Eukaryota; Metazoa; Chordata; Actinopteri; Cypriniformes; Cyprinidae.